RNAcentral lists this ribosomal RNA (488 nucleotides) under uncultured bacterium. Its description in RNAcentral is "bacterial SSU rRNA". It matches the Rfam family "Bacterial small subunit ribosomal RNA", at positions 29 to 507 of the family's 1533-position model. The record is from RNAcentral.
AUGAACGCUAGCUACAGGCUUAACACAUGCAAGUCGAGGGGCAGCAUUAUCGAAGCUUGCUUUGAUAGAUGGCGACCGGCGCACGGGUGAGUAACGCGUAUCCAACCUUCCCCAUAGUCAGGAAUAGCCCGGCGAAAGUCGAAUUAAUGCCUGAUGUUUUCCACGGACGGCAUCUGAUGUGGAACAAAGAUUCAUCGCUAUGGGAUGGGGAUGCGUCUGAUUAGCUUGUUGGUGAGGUAACGGCUCACCAAGGCGACGAUCAGUAGGGGUUCUGAGAGGAAGGUCCCCCACAUUGGAACUGAGACACGGUCCAAACUCCUACGGGAGGCAGCAGUGAGGAAUAUUGGUCAAUGGGCGAGAGCCUGAACCAGCCAAGUAGCGUGCAGGAAGACGGCCCUAUGGGUUGUAAACUGCUUUUAUAGGGGAAUAAAGUGAGCCACGUGUGGUUUUUGCAUGUACCCUAUGAAUAAGGACCGGCUAAUUCCGUG